CCUACGGGAGACAGCAGUGAGGAAUAUUGGUCAAUGGCCGAGAGUCUGAACCAGCCAAGUAGCGUGAAGGAUGACUGCCCUAUGGGUUGUAAACUUCUUUUAUAUGGGAAUAAAAUGUUCCACGUGUGGGAUUUUGUAUGUACCAUAUGAAUAAGGAUCGGCUAACUCCGUGCCAGCAGCCGCGGUAAUACGGAGGAUCCGAGCGUUAUCCGGAUUUAUUGGGUUUAAAGGGAGCGUAGGUGGAUUGUUAAGUCAGUUGUGAAAGUUUGCGGCUCAACCGUAAAAUUGCAGUUGAUACUGGCAGUCUUGAGUACAGUAGAGGUGGGCGGAAUUCGUGGUGUAGCGGUGAAAUGCUUAGAUAUCACGAAGAACUCCGAUUGCGAAGGCAGUUCACUGAACUGCAACUGACAUUGAUGCUCGAAAGUGUGGGUAUCAAACAGGAUUAGAUACCCUAGUAGUC
Molecule: ribosomal RNA, 460 nt
Filed under: uncultured bacterium
Lineage: Bacteria
Description: partial 16S ribosomal RNA
Rfam family: Bacterial small subunit ribosomal RNA
Source: RNAcentral